Molecule: small RNA, 28 nt
Filed under: Bombyx mori (domestic silkworm)
Lineage: Eukaryota; Metazoa; Arthropoda; Insecta; Lepidoptera; Bombycidae
Description: ovarian small RNA-37975
Source: RNAcentral
UUGCUUUGUUAGAUUCAGGAUCAUUGAU